AAUAAUGUUUCUAAAACUUUCCGCUAACAUAUACAGUAUUUUAUUUCUUAGAUCAACUAUUUCUAAGGAUAAGCCUGCACCCGGAAACAGUGGGGUUUUCCAGAUUUCAGGACCACGUGCCUGAAACAAAUUGUGAUUCUUUUCUAAGCAGAGGUGUUGGACAGACCUGUCGGCACUGGAAAUUAAACAUGGCAGUGAGAUGAGGCCAAUAAUGUGUUAACAUAAGAGUAAGAGAUGCUUUUGAAUGACUUUUAUUGCUGCACAAUUCCCCAGACAGCAGUCACACCUGCCAGCUGAAUAAAAGCUAUCUCUUAGAUGCUGUGCUGUACAGCUGUGGAUUCUUUGCUCACCUGCACUGCAUCUUCCUAUGCAUACUUUAGAGGAAAUUAACAAGCAAGACUUCAGGGCUGAACUAUAAGAAUGGAAACAUCCUCAACUGUUUGAAAGAGACCGAGUUUCUAAGGUCCAGCAAAUGAGAUGAAGAAAUCAGCAGCUGGCAGUUGGUGUUCCUGCUUCAGUCUGAGAAAUCCAUCUUCUGUGGCUGAAUGCAAACUGCAGUGCAAUCCCAGGAGCCCUCAGAAAUAGCCCUGGCAGGUGAAUCUAAGCAGUUUUGACCCAGAAGACCCAGGCCAAGUAGUGGUGCACUGCGUGCUUCCUUCUCAUCUUUUCCCCCUGACUACUCGCCUGUGGUCUGUGUGCUGUGUGCAAUUGCCAAUUUAUUCCCAAUGCUUGCUAACCUGUUGGACAAUCUCUGCAAUAAAAUGAAUUCCCUGGUUGAAGGGUAUUGUUGCAGGACACUCAAACCUUGGAAUAAUC
Molecule: long non-coding RNA, 816 nt
Organism: Lagopus leucura (white-tailed ptarmigan)
Lineage: Eukaryota; Metazoa; Chordata; Aves; Galliformes; Phasianidae
Exons: 3
Source: RefSeq, a predicted model, not a curated record